AUUGAACGCUGGCGGCAGGCUUAACACAUGCAAGUCGAGCGGGGUGAUGGUGCUUGCACUAUCACUUAGCGGCGGACGGGUGAGUAAUGCUUAGGAAUCUGCCUAUUAGUGGGGGACAACAUCUCGAAAGGGAUGCUAAUACCGCAUACGUCCUACGGGAGAAAGCAGGGGAUCACUUGUGACCUUGCGCUAAUAGAUGAGCCUAAGUCGGAUUAGCUAGUUGGUGGGGUAAAGGCCUACCAAGGCGACGAUCUGUAGCGGGUCUGAGAGGAUGAUCGGCCACACUGGGACUGAGACACGGCCCAGACUCCUACGGGAGGUAGCAGUGGGGAAUAUUGGACAAUGGGGGGAACCCUGAUCCAGCCAUGCCGCGUGUGUGAAGAAGGCCUUAUGGUUGUAAAGCACUUUAAGCGAGGAGGAGGCUCUUUUGGUUAAUACCCAAGAUGAGUGGACGUUACUCGCAGAAUAAGCACCGGCUAACUCUGUGCCAGCAGCCGCCGUAA
This 503-nucleotide ribosomal RNA is filed under the name uncultured bacterium. RNAcentral's name for it is "partial 16S ribosomal RNA". It matches the Rfam family "Bacterial small subunit ribosomal RNA", at positions 30 to 523 of the family's 1533-position model. The record is from RNAcentral.